AGGAACGCUGGCGGCGUGCCUAACACAUGCAAGUCGAACGAAGCUCCGAUUCUUGAGAUUUCGGUCAAGAGGAAAGGAUGACUUAGUGGCGGACGGGUGAGUAAUACGUGAGCAACCUGCCUUUCAGAGGGGGACAACAGUUGGAAACGACUGCUAAUACCGCAUAAUGUAUCGAGGUGGCAUCACCAUGAUACCAAAGAUUUAUCGCUGAAAGAUGGGCUCACGUCUGAUUAGUUAGUUGGUAGGGUAAUGGCCUACCAAGACUGCGAUCAGUAGCCGGACUGAGAGGUCGAACGGCCACAUUGGGACUGAGAUACGGCCCAGACUCCUACGGGAGGCAGCAGUGGGGAAUAUUGGGCAAUGGGCGCAAGCCUGACCCAGCAACGCCGCGUGAAGGAAGAAGGCUUUCGGGUUGUAAACUUCUUUUAGCAGGGACGAAACAAAUGACGGUACCUGCAGAAUAAGCUCCGGCUAACUACGUG
This 482-nucleotide ribosomal RNA is filed under the name uncultured bacterium. RNAcentral describes it as "bacterial SSU rRNA". It matches the Rfam family "Bacterial small subunit ribosomal RNA", at positions 31 to 507 of the family's 1533-position model. The record is from RNAcentral.